Molecule: unclassified non-coding RNA, 2681 nt
Filed under: Hevea brasiliensis (rubber tree)
Lineage: Eukaryota; Viridiplantae; Streptophyta; Magnoliopsida; Malpighiales; Euphorbiaceae
Source: RNAcentral
CGAAGGGCAGGAAACUUCUACAGCUAGCUUAUAGCUGGCAGCUGCUUAUUGUUGACUUCUGGCUAGCUAAGUCAAUGCCCAAGUACUGUUUAACUUUUAGGAGGAAGCUUCCAUCAGUGGAAGAGCGACUAGUCUUCUUGUUUAUUAAUUCCUUCCCUUAACUCUCCAGGCUCUAAGCUCUCCGACGAGAAAUUCUUGGGAGGAAGUAGGUUCUAUGUCUGACGUUACUCUGAAUGCGGAAUCGGUGGAGUCAACUCAGAACUCGGUACCGAAGGAGGGGGAAAGGUUAGGAAACUCCGAUUCAUCAAUCGUCGGUCUGCUCAGACAUGCUGCUAAUGACAAUAAUAAGGUUGUUGAUGACAUAGUAGAAGUAGGGGGUGGCGGGAAUGGAAUUGAAAAUGAAAACGACGCAGCGGUGACUAAUGAACUUUCUCUGGGAAGCAAUGGAAGGGAAGUGGGCAAGGAUUUUGGGAAUUAUCAGGUGCAAGCAGGGCAAGAGAAUCUCUCGUUUGAAAUUGGACAGGAGAUUAGCGGCGGAGAGGUACAGGGAAAUACCAGGAGGAGGAGGGGACCUAGGUCUAAGAGCUCACAGAACAGAGGAGUUACCUUCUACAGAAGGACUGAGAGAUGGGAAUCUCAUAGCUGGGAUGAAGGGAAACUAGUCCACCUAGGUGAAUUCGAUACUGCCCAUGCUGCAGCAGCCAGAGCCUAUGAUCGAACAUCUAUCAAAUUCAAGGGUGUUGAAGCUGACAUCAAUUUUAGCUUAAGUGAUUCUGAGACGGAUCUGGUGCAGGUAGGAUAAGUGGGAAGAAGAUAAUAGAAGUAAAUUCAAUUGGAAGAAGUGAGGAUAUAGUGAUAGAAAUAAAUUCAAUGUGUUUCAAAUUUUGGGAGUAAUUGGGUACUUUUUUUUUAAGAUCAAUGUGCAGAUGAAGAAUUUGACAAAGGAAGAACACAUAUUCCGCAGACCAAGCACUCGUUUCUCAAGAGGAAGCCCCUUUGGCAAUAGCCACAGGGAAAGUGAAGAGCAUAUCCAGCCCCACUCAGGCUCUUAUGACGUGCACAGCAGGGGUUCAAGGGUAUUUGAUCUAAAAAAAAAAUUCAUAUUUCUUUUUGAAUGUUUUUCAUUUUCUUAUACUACUGCAAAAUUUUUGGUUUUGUUUUCGUUUCAUUGCAAGUUUAAUGCUAACCUUUUCUGUCAUAAAAUCUCUAUAUUCUAAAUAUUUGUUGGCGGCCCUUCUCUGGAUAACGGUCAAACUGAGGACAAUGAAAUCCAGUCUUGUCUUGCUUCCCCUGCACCUCAUUCACCUGAGACUGAUCAUUUCGGCUGCAUGGAUGUUGAACAUGGCAAUGGCAUUUGCAGGACAUUCUGCGGAACAGAGAGUUUGAAAAGAAAGGUCAAAAUUGAAAUCAAAAUAUUAUAUUUAAUUUGAAGUUAAUUAGCAACUAUAGUUUCUUGCAUGAUUGCUAAUUUUUCUCUAGUCUUUUAACACUCAUCAAUUGUUUCUUUUUCUUCUAUGAAGUUUUUCAAGUGGUUCUUUGCUAUUGCCAACUUCAUUGUUGAGCUCUUGUCAAUAGUUUUUGAACAGCUUUCCUCUCAACAUUACUCUCUUUUUCUGCCUAUAUGCAUGGGGAUGUCCUUCCUAGCUCUGUUUAUCUGCACCUUCGAGCUUGUGUACAAGGCUCAGAAAGAACGAGCUACUUGGCGGUGGCGUGGCACAAUACCUUGGUUUUAUUAUCCUUCUCAAAGCGGCAUUCGUCUUGGUUCUGUCAUGGACAUUGCUGCAUUGGUUUGUGCAUUUGGUCAAUGCAUUCUCACAAUAGUUGGUUAUUGUUUGUUCCUUAGGAAUGGUAAUAACCCAAUCAAAAUAUCCAUUUGGGCUAGCGUCUUUGCCUCUUGUCAGUUGUGUUCCAAGUUCUGUGGAGAAUUCAAACAUGAAGUUCAUGGGCAAGACACUUUACCUGUGCUCAAUGCACCAAGCCUGUGUCACUGAUCUAUAGUCCCGCCAUGUGCUACGCUUAUCAUCGCCGCCUUCAACAUUAGGAGUGACUUCUUUUGAUGAGCAGCUGUACCGGUUGCAUCUUAACCUGGAAAACUCGAUGUUUUUCAUUUGAGGUAUCUCGUGUUAGUCAGUGGUUAUUUGGAAUUAUGCCUAGUGCAGUAUUCUGUUUGAAGCUGCUAAGACACAGAGUACUCAGUAAUAGAAAUUACUUGUAUUAUCCAGUAUUCUCUUUGAACCAAUAAUAUAAAUUUCAUUUUCACUUGUAUUUUGAUGCUGCUUGGGUUCAGUCCAAAGCUUAGUGGAUGAUUUCUUUGUGAUUUCUGCUGAUCCUCAUUGCCCUCGGGUUGUUGGUCCACCUUGCACUAGUUCCUGGCAGCCUCCUCAUCAAUUGGAUUGGAUCAAAAUGAAACUGUGAUGCUUGUUUGAAUACUCCUGGGCAAAUUGGUUUCAGUGUAGUGUAUAGAAAUGAGGCUGGUGAGGUUCUGGCAUAUCCAUCUAAAUGUGCUGUUGGAGAAUGGUUGCCGGAAAUUGCUGAAGCUAUGUCUAUUGCUGCUGUGGCAGAGCCACAACACAAAAAGAAAACAGAGGAAAGGGCAGAGAAAAUAGAAGAAAGGGGAGAAAAAAGGAAGAAGAUUAGAGAAAGAAGAGAGAGAGAGAAGAGAAAUAGAGAAAGAGAGUGAA